CGUGUAGGCGGUUAGGUAAGUGGAAUGUGAAAUGCCCCGGGCUCACCCGGGGACCGGCAUCCCAAACUGCCUGGCUUGAGUAUGGGAGAGGAUGGAGGAAUUCCUGGUGUAGCGGUGAAAUGCGUAGAUAUCAGGAGGAACACCGGUGGCGAAGGCGUCCAUCUGGCCCAAUACUGACGCUGAGGCGCGAAAGCUAGGGGAGCAAACG
RNAcentral lists this ribosomal RNA (208 nucleotides) under uncultured Latescibacterota bacterium. RNAcentral describes it as "uncultured Latescibacteria bacterium partial 16S ribosomal RNA". It matches the Rfam family "Bacterial small subunit ribosomal RNA", at positions 568 to 774 of the family's 1533-position model. Lineage: Bacteria; Pseudomonadati; Candidatus Latescibacterota. The record is from RNAcentral.